RNAcentral lists this ribosomal RNA (334 nucleotides) under uncultured bacterium. Its description in RNAcentral is "bacterial SSU rRNA". It matches the Rfam family "Bacterial small subunit ribosomal RNA", at positions 8 to 334 of the family's 1533-position model. The record is from RNAcentral.
AGGGUUCGAUCCUGGCUCAGGACGAACGCUGGCGGCGUGCCUAAUACAUGCAAGUAGAACGCUGAAGGAGGAGCUUGCUCUUCUGGAAGAGUUGCGAACGGGUGAGUAACGCGUAGGUAACCUGCCUGGUAGCGGGGGAUAACUAUUGGAAACGAUAGCUAAUACCGCAUAAGAUUGAAUAUCGCAUGAUAAUUGAUUAAAAGAUGCAAUUGCAUCACUACCAGAUGGACCUGCGUUGUAUUAGCUAGUAGGUGAGGUAACGGCUCACCUAGGCGACGAUACAUAGCCGACCUGAGAGGGUGAUCGGCCACACUGGGACUGAGACACGGCCCAG